This 663-nucleotide ribosomal RNA is filed under the name uncultured fungus. Its description in RNAcentral is "eukaryotic LSU rRNA". It matches the Rfam family "Eukaryotic large subunit ribosomal RNA", at positions 24 to 664 of the family's 3401-position model. The record is from RNAcentral. Lineage: Eukaryota; Fungi.
CCCGCUGAACUUAAGCAUAUCAAUAAGCGGAGGAAAAGAAACUAACAAGGAUUCCCCUAGUAACUGCGAGUGAAGAGGGAAGAGCUCAAAUUUAAAAUCUGGCUGUUCUUGAAGCAGUCCGAGUUGUAGUUUAGAGAAGUGUUAUCCGCGCUGGCCUGUGCAAAAGUUUCUUGGAAAAGAACAUCAUAGAGGGUGACAAUCCCGUCUUUGGCACAGAUUACCGGGGCUUUUGUGAUGCGCUCUCGACGAGUCGUGUUGUUUGGGAAUGCAGCACUAAAUGGGUGGUAAAUUCCAUCUAAAGCUAAAUAUUGGCGAGAGACCGAUAGCGAACAAGUACCGUGAGGGAAAGAUGAAAAGAACUUUGAAAAGAGAGUUAAACAGUACGUGAAAUUGUUGAAAGGGAAACGCUUGAAGUCAGUCGUGUCUUCCAGGGAUCAAGUCACCUUUGGGUGGCCGUACUUUCUGGUUGAUAGGUCAGCAUCAAUUUUGAUCGUUGGAUAAAGGCCUCGGGAAUGUGGCAUCUUCGGAUGUGUUAUAGACCUUGGUUGGAUACAAUGGUUGGGAUUGAGGAACUCAGUGUGCCUUCAUGGUUGGGGCUUUUGCUCACACCGCACGCUUAGGAUGCUGGCAUAAUGGCUUUAAUCGACCCGUCUUGAAACACGG